RNAcentral lists this ribosomal RNA (474 nucleotides) under uncultured bacterium. RNAcentral describes it as "bacterial SSU rRNA". It matches the Rfam family "Bacterial small subunit ribosomal RNA", at positions 26 to 518 of the family's 1533-position model. The record is from RNAcentral.
AGGACGAACGCUGGCGGCGUGCCUAACACAUGCAAGUCGAGCGAGGAGAUCCUCGGGAUGAUCCUAGCGGCGGACGGGUGAGUAACACGUGGGCAACCUGCCUCAUAGAGAGGAAUAGCCUUCCGAAAGGGAGAUUAAUACCUCAUAACAUUGCAGUUUCGCAUGGAACAGCAAUUAAAGGAGCAAUCCACUAUGAGAUGGGCCCGCGGCGCAUUAGCUAGUUGGUGAGGUAACGGCUCACCAAGGCGACGAUGCGUAGCCGACCUGAGAGGGUGAUCGGCCACAUUGGGGCUGAGACACGGCCCAGACUCCUACGGGAGGCAGCAGUGGGGAAUAUUGCACAAUGGGGGAAACCCUGAUGCAAGCAACGCCGCGUGAGUGAUGACGGCCUUCGGGUUGUAAAGCUCUGUCUUCAGGGACGAUAAUGACGGUACCUGAGGAGGAAGCCACGGCUAACUACGUGCCAGCCGCUGC